This 527-nucleotide ribosomal RNA is filed under the name uncultured bacterium. RNAcentral's name for it is "bacterial SSU rRNA". It matches the Rfam family "Bacterial small subunit ribosomal RNA", at positions 777 to 1304 of the family's 1533-position model. The record is from RNAcentral.
AAUAGAUACCCUGGUAGUCCACGCCGUAAACGAUGUCGACUUGGAGGUUGUUCCCUUGAGGAGUGGCUUCCGGAGCUAACGCGUUAAGUCGACCGCCUGGGGAGUACGGCCGCAAGGUUAAAACUCAAAUGAAUUGACGGGGGCCCGCACAAGCGGUGGAGCAUGUGGUUUAAUUCGAUGCAACGCGAAGAACCUUACCUACUCUUGACAUCCAGAGAACUUUCCAGAGAUGCUUUGGUGCCUUCGGGAACUCUGAGACAGGUGCUGCAUGGCUGUCGUCAGCUCGUGUUGUGAAAUGUUGGGUUAAGUCCCGCAACGAGCGCAACCCUUAUCCUUUGUUGCCAGCGGUUAGGCCGGGAACUCAAAGGAGACUGCCAGUGAUAAACUGGAGGAAGGUGGGGAUGACGUCAAGUCAUCAUGGCCCUUACGAGUAGGGCUACACACGUGCUACAAUGGCGCAUACAAAGAGAAGCGACCUCGCGAGAGCAAGCGGACCUCAUAAAGUGCGUCGUAGUCCGGAUUGGAGU